AUACGUAGGGUGCGAGCGUUAAUCGGAAUUACUGGGCGUAAAGCGUGCGCAGGCGGUUUUGUAAGACAGUGGUGAAAUCCCCGGGCUCAACCUGGGAACUGCCAUUGUGACUGCAAGGCUGGAGUGCGGCAGAGGGGGAUGGAAUUCCGCGUGGAGCAGUGAAAUGCGUAGAUAUGCGGAGGAACACCGAUGGCGAAGGCAAUCCCCUGGGCCUGCACUGACGCUCAUGCACGAAAGCGUGGGGAGCAAACAGGAUUAGAUACCCUGGUAGUCCACGCCCUAAACGAUGUCAACUGGUUGUUGGGAAUUUAUUUUCUCAGUAACGAAGCUAACGCGUGAAGUUGACCGCCUGGGGAGUACGGCCGCAAGGUUAAAACUCAAAUGAAUUGACGGGG
RNAcentral lists this ribosomal RNA (395 nucleotides) under uncultured bacterium. RNAcentral's name for it is "partial 16S ribosomal RNA". It matches the Rfam family "Bacterial small subunit ribosomal RNA", at positions 523 to 918 of the family's 1533-position model. The record is from RNAcentral.